RNAcentral lists this ribosomal RNA (769 nucleotides) under uncultured Lactobacillus sp. RNAcentral's name for it is "bacterial SSU rRNA". It matches the Rfam family "Bacterial small subunit ribosomal RNA", at positions 26 to 762 of the family's 1533-position model. The record is from RNAcentral. Lineage: Bacteria; Bacillati; Bacillota; Bacilli; Lactobacillales; Lactobacillaceae.
AGGAUGAACGCUGGCGGCGUGCCUAAUACAUGCAAGUCGAACGAAACUUCUUUAUCACCGAGUGCUUGCACUCACCGAUAAAGAGUUGAGUGGCGAACGGGUGAGUAACACGUGGGCAACCUGCCCAAAAGAGGGGGAUAACACUUGGAAACAGGUGCUAAUACCGCAUAACCAUAGUUACCGCAUGGUAACUAUGUAAAAGGUGGCUAUGCUACCGCUUUUGGAUGGGCCCGCGGCGCAUUAGCUAGUUGGUGGGGUAAAGGCUUACCAAGGCAAUGAUGCGUAGCCGAACUGAGAGGUUGAUCGGCCACAUUGGGACUGAGACACGGCCCAAACUCCUACGGGAGGCAGCAGUAGGGAAUCUUCCACAAUGGGCGAAAGCCUGAUGGAGCAACGCCGCGUGGGUGAAGAAGGUCUUCGGAUCGUAAAACCCUGUUGUUAGAGAAGAAAGUGCGUGAGAGUAACUGUUCACGUUUCGACGGUAUCUAACCAGAAAGCCACGGCUAACUACGUGCCAGCAGCCGCGGUAAUACGUAGGUGGCAAGCGUUAUCCGGAUUUAUUGGGCGUAAAGGGAACGCAGGCGGUCUUUUAAGUCUGAUGUGAAAGCCUUCGGCUUAACCUGGGAAUUGCAUUUCAGACUGGGAAUCUAGAGUACUUUAGGGAGGGGUAGAAUUCCACGUGUAGCGGUGAAAUGCGUAAAGAUGUGGAGGAAUACCGAAGGCGAAGGCAGCCCCUUGGGAAUGUACUGACGCUUAUGUGCGAAAGCGU